UCCAUGACACAAAGCAGCCAUACGUUUUUCCUCAAUCAAAUUCAACUGGUCGUACCUGCUCUGGCACCAUUCAGCUUCAGACAAUUCAGCUUCCAUCAAGACUCUUAAAGAAGGAAUCUCAACCUCUACAGGUAGUACAGCCUCCAUACCAUAUACCAAAGAGAAAGGGGUUGCCCCUGUCGAGGUUCGCACUGAGGUACGGUAUCCAUACAAAGCGUAGGGUAACAUUUCAUGCCAGUCCUUAUAAGUAACUACCAUCUUCUGUAUGAUCU
Molecule: long non-coding RNA, 272 nt
Filed under: Medicago truncatula (barrel medic)
Lineage: Eukaryota; Viridiplantae; Streptophyta; Magnoliopsida; Fabales; Fabaceae
Description: long non-coding RNA (MTRU_LNC004174)
Source: RNAcentral